GAUUAGCUUGUUGGUGAGGUAACGGCUCACCAAGGCGACGAUCCCUAGCUGGUCUGAGAGGAUGACCAGCCACACUGGAACUGAGACACGGUCCAGACUCCUACGGGAGGCAGCAGUGGGGAAUAUUGCACAAUGGGCGCAAGCCUGAUGCAGCCAUGCCGCGUGUAUGAAGAAGGCCUUCGGGUUGUAAAGUACUUUCAGCGGGGAGGAAGGUGUUGUGGUUAAUAACCGCAGCAAUUGACGUUACCCGCAGAAGAAGCACCGGCUAACUCCGUGCCAGCAGCCGCGGUAAUACGGAGGGUGCAAGCGUUAAUCGGAAUUACUGGGCGUAAAGCGCACGCAGGCGGUCUGUCAAGUCGGAUGUGAAAUCCCCGGGCUCAACCUGGGAACUGCAUUCGAAACUGGCAGGCUUGAGUCUUGUAGAGGGGGGUAGAAUUCCAGGUGUAGCGGUGAAAUG
RNAcentral lists this ribosomal RNA (457 nucleotides) under Salmonella enterica subsp. enterica serovar Montevideo. RNAcentral describes it as "bacterial SSU rRNA". It matches the Rfam family "Bacterial small subunit ribosomal RNA", at positions 239 to 688 of the family's 1533-position model. The record is from RNAcentral. Lineage: Bacteria; Pseudomonadati; Pseudomonadota; Gammaproteobacteria; Enterobacterales; Enterobacteriaceae.